Non-coding RNA from Ictidomys tridecemlineatus (thirteen-lined ground squirrel), 347 nucleotides. NCBI's taxonomy places the organism in Eukaryota, Metazoa, Chordata, Mammalia, Rodentia, Sciuridae. The record is from RefSeq and is a predicted model, not a curated record.
CUGAUGGGUUGUAUCAGUGAGAGCUUUUAGAAAUGUAAAUUUAAAGAUUGGGACUUUAGGAACGUGAAUUGAAAGAUGGGAGAAAGGUAUUUAACUGGGAUGAAAGUCUAUGGAUAUGAGCCAGAGUGAUCGCUUCCAUCUGAGGAACCAUCUCAUGAAUGAAUGUGGGCUCAUUUGAAGGAACUCAGAUCUCACAAGCUCAAGAGCUCAUCUCUAUGGAGGACUUUACCAAAUCCCCAAGAAGCAGCAAAUAGGUACAUCUUAACUGAGGAGGAAGUGGAGUGACAAGAAGCAACACCAUCUUGAAAGACCAUGAGUAUAUACAUAAUAUUCCUUGGACGUUCACA